CCUACGGGUGGCAGCAGUGGGGAAUAUUGCACAAUGGGGGAAACCCUGAUGCAGCGACGCCGCGUGAGCGAUGAAGUAUUUCGGUAUCUAAAGCUCUAUUAGCAGGGAAGAAAAUGACGGUACCUGACUAAGAAGCCCCGGCUAACUACGUGCCAGCAGCCGCGGUAAUACGUAGGGGGCAAGCGUUAUCCGGAUUUACUGGGUGUAAAGGGAGCGUAGACGGGCCUGCAAGCCAGAUGUGAAAGCCCGGGGCUCAACCCCGGUACUGCAGUUGGAACUGUAAGGCUGGAGUGUCGGAGAGGAAGGCGGAAUUCCUAGUGUAGCGGUGAAAUGCGUAGAUAUUAGGAGGAACACCAGUGGCGAAGGCGGCCUGCUGGACGAUGACUGACGUUGAGGCUCGAAAGCGUGGGGAGCAAACAGGAUUAGAUACCCUGGUAGUC
Molecule: ribosomal RNA, 440 nt
Filed under: uncultured bacterium
Lineage: Bacteria
Description: partial 16S ribosomal RNA
Rfam family: Bacterial small subunit ribosomal RNA
Source: RNAcentral